GGUCACUCAAGAUGAGCUAAUUAGCUUUUGCCAAAUAUAUUUUGGCCCGGUUUCCCAGGUAAAGCUUAUGGGCCAUGACAACCAAUCCACAAAGAUAGCUUUUAUCGAGUUUAUGGAGUUUAGUGGCGCUAUCACUGCUUUGAACUCUAGUGGCAUAUAUGUGAAAGGUCUUAUAAUAAGGGUCAACCCUUCAAAGACACCAAUCAGGACGGCACAUUUACAAUAAGCCACGUCGUGCUAACUAGCUGCCUGGUGCGUCUCCGAGUUUGCAUUCCUAAGAGAAUGAGGUGUACAUAUUGUCAAGAGACAGAAUGACGGAUGAUGCAUGUGAAUGUCUGAAUGAUAAUUUAAGACUCUGUCCAUGUGGCAAUUUCCAUAGACUAUUGUACCUUGAGUGCUAAUAUUAGACUACUAAAACUUUCUUUAGUUGAUCUACAUAUCAUUUCUCUGGUUGUAUUUUCUUAUGCUAAGCGCAUCUCCACCGGCACCCCUAUAGCGACUCCAAUAGCCACAAU
This is a non-coding RNA of Lolium perenne, 515 nucleotides long. The record is from RefSeq and is a predicted model, not a curated record. Lineage: Eukaryota; Viridiplantae; Streptophyta; Magnoliopsida; Poales; Poaceae.